This 305-nucleotide unclassified non-coding RNA is filed under the name plant metagenome. RNAcentral describes it as "partial contains 5.8S ribosomal RNA, internal transcribed spacer 2, and large subunit ribosomal RNA". The stretch from base 1 to 105 matches the Rfam family "5.8S ribosomal RNA", at positions 50 to 154 of the family's 154-position model. The record is from RNAcentral.
GAAAUGCGAUAAGUAAUGUGAAUUGCAGAAUUCAGUGAAUCAUCGAAUCUUUGAACGCACAUUGCGCCCGCCAGUAUUCUGGCGGGCAUGUCUGUUCGAGCGUCAUUUCAACCAUCAAGCCCCGGGCUUGUGUUGGGGACCUGCGGCUGCCGCAGGCCCUGAAAAACAGUGGCGGGCUCGCUGUCACACCGAGCGUAGUAGAUUCUCAUCUCGCUCAGGGCGUGCUGCGGGUUCCGGCCGUAAAACAGCCUUAUUUUACCCAAGGUUGACCUCGGAUCAGGUAGGAAGACCCGCUGAACUUAAGC